This 4887-nucleotide long non-coding RNA is filed under the name Sorghum bicolor (sorghum). Its description in RNAcentral is "long non-coding RNA (SBIC_LNC013418)". Lineage: Eukaryota; Viridiplantae; Streptophyta; Magnoliopsida; Poales; Poaceae. The record is from RNAcentral.
CACGGAUUAUAAUAUUGGGUGACACAUAUUACAUAUACAAGAACAAAAUUAAAAUAGGAGAGAGAGGAAUUCGAAACAACAACAAAACAACAAUUAGGCAAGCACAUUCAUGUGUGCGUUUGCCGCGCGCACCACGCAUGCACAUAUAUAUAUCAUCAGGGUGCAUGCAGCACACAUUAUUGUUCUAGAGAAAAUCAAAAGGGAAAUAGUUUUGCCGUAUCGGAUAUGUAGAUCAGGCCAAUUGCCAAGAACUGGCCGGCCGGAUCGAUCGCCGUAGACGGAGGGCGAGAUAUCUCUCUGCCGGCGACGGCGACCGGUCGGUUAGUCGGAAGAGCUGCUGCUGGAGGGUGCGUCCGACGACGACGACGACGACUCCGGGGACGAGGCGUCGGGGCUGGGAGCGGGCGCGUCGGAGGAGGACUCCAUGGACCUGCCCUCCACGACGUCGGCGCGCGCCGCGUCGACGACUGUCGUGAGUGGCGCCACCGCGACGGCGGCCAGGAGGAGCACGACCAGGAACACGCAGGCGCGGGCCAUUGCUGAUGCUAGCUGCCUUGGUGGCUUGACCGAGAGUGGCUUGUUGUGUGUGUGAGUGUGACUGCGAUGACGGUACGGGGCGGGGGCGCGGGUGUUUAUAUACGAGACCGUGUGGCUAUUUUUAGGCGGUUCGGUUCCCUCCAGAGCUCCAGGCGAGCGUUUAUUUGGUGGCCUGUACGUACGUGGCUCCUCGUGUCGUGUGGUCGCGCACCACCCUCGCACGACGUCACGGAUGCAUGCACAUGCACGUACGAGUCUCCAUCCCCCAUCUGCCACACGCCCAAACACCCAAAUUAGGAGCUGCGAACGCCAUAGACUUGCAAACGAGUCUAUGGCCAAUGCAGCCGUAUUACUAAUCGUGUCGUGUCGUAUGCCCAUCAUACAUGGCUCCACCUCUGUUCCUCGAUCAAAAAAAAAAGACUCCUCCUUUAGUCCAUAUACAACGCGUCUCUUAUUAGACCCCCGCUCUCUGCGGCGAGGAUCCGACGAACUCUACUGACUCUACUAACUCCUACUAGAGAGGAGGGAUCGAGGAGAUCCGCCGGCGGCAUCGCGCCGCUCGGGGAGGAGUGCUUGAGAGUACAUAGUUUGGUAUUGUAUUUUCUUACAGAGUUUUUCCUCUCUUCCCUACUUAUCUCUCACGCUACUGGCUUUUGCUGAGCAGGCCGAGCAGGCCCACUCCGGCCCAGCGGUCCUGCUGUUUGGGUGCCUUGUCCACGAUCCUCUUCUGGGCCUUGAAGACUAUGGAGGCUCCCUAGGAUGGGGGAUGCUGACAUCUCUCUAUCUUAAGGCGUGAUCAAUAAUGAAGACACAUAGUAAUAAUGGUCUCAUACUAACUUUCUUAGAGUCAAAGUAUCUUAGAUUGACCAAAUUUAUAUAAUAACUUUCUUAGAGUCAAAGUAUGUUAGAUUGACCAAAUUUAUAUAAUAACAUAAUAAUAUUUAUGAUAUCAAAUAAGUAUUAUUAAAUUUUUCAUUAAUUAAAUUUUUAUAGUAUAUUUAUUUGAUGUCAUAAAUCUUUUAAUUUUUUUCUAAAAUUUUGAUCAAACUUGAGAUGUUUUGACGCUCUAACAAGUUAAAAUGACUUAUAAUUUGGAAUGAAGGGAGCUAAAAUAUAAUGUAAUAGCAUUGAGGAUAUUAAACUCCCAAUGGCUAUGCAUUUAUUUAUUCAAUGAUCUCGUCCAUGAUAAUAUAAUAGCGUUGCUAAACCAAACAAUUGCAACGCACCUGGUCUGGUAUAGCAGCCACUACUGCAUAAACAAUUUUACACAAACGUGCUAAAAUGGUUUUGAGAGGCAGUCAAGUCCAUGUCGCAAGCCUAGAUGCAGAACCAUGCAUGCGUGCCACCAGUUUGGAGAGGAAGGGGACUCAAGUGCCGCUUGAAAUGAUCUAGAUGGCUAGAAGGGGAUGAAUAAUCUAUACAAAUUUUCUCUGCAAUUGCACAAGCAUUAGAGCAAAGCAGUUACAACAAUAAGACGCUCUAAUAGUAACUAGUUUGUCUAGCUCUAUUCCACCUAAAUGCAAGCCUCCGCCUCCUACACAAGUCUAGUAGCAAGGUAGUCUACCACUGAAGCACUCAAAUACACAUAAAAGGUUAGCAACUAAACAAGCUACAAUGCUACACUGUAGGGCUAAACUAGCUAGAAUAGCAACUAAAUAUAGCUACUCUACCAUUAAAGUUACCACUACACUAGAGAGCUACAAAAACAAGCAAGCAACUGCGGAGGCUAUAUGAAUGGAAAACAUGAGUGUAGAUGAUGAAACUAUCGAGCGAAAUAGGGAGACAUGAUUUAUUCUUGUGGUUUUCUUGCUUGCCGGUAGCCUACAUCCACGUUGAGUUUAUAUAUCAUUAUGACUUCCCCACUAUGAAUUCAGUCUGACUAGCUAGUUCAUGAAAAGUCAAAACCUACAGUUAUAAGAUAAUAGAAAGUAUAAAAUUUUUAGUAGUGAGCAAUAAUUAUGUGAUGAGCCACUACAUGGCUAAAAAACUCAUGGGCAAGACAUCCCCGGGCAUUUUUUUUUAGAAGCAGAAUACAUUCUCGCAUAGGUUCAGAAACCCUUCGAACUCCUAUCUCACCCAUACAUAGCGGCAUCGUAACCCAUGUGUUUUGGCAUGGGACAUAUGAAAAAAACUUUGAUUGAUAAUCGGCAUAAUAGCUGUGAUGCCACGCUUGACGAUACAAUAGGUCCAAAUUAAAUUUAAAAAUUUUCAGCAUUUUCCACCUCCGAAUUUGGAUCUAGAUUCAAAAUUUAUGUCAGUUGCUCAAAGUUUCAAUACCCAUUUCAGCAUUUCCACACUUAGACUAGUUGUUAGCCAUGACUAAAAAUAGUCAGCUAUAAAUUUAGCCAACUAGUUAUUAGCCUUUGCUUGUUGGGAUCCUCAACUAAAAUUAAGUCCUAGACAAAAAUACUCUCCCUCCAACCUUUUCUCUCUCACCCUGCUAGAGAGAUAAUAGAGGAUAGAGGUGACUUUUUUUUAUAUAUGUAGCACUUUAGACUUUGUUAGCUAGGUUUGAAGGACUAGUGAACUAACAAUUAGUUGGGCUUUGGUUAAACUCUUGCCUACCCAUUGGCCAACUAACAACUAGUUGGGCUUUGGUUAAACCUUUGCCUACUCAUUGCAUUGGCCCUCUUGUUUAGAUCUUUAAUUAAAGGCUAAAGUUUAGCAACUCCUCCCUCAUUUCCAAAUUAUAAGUUACUUUAGCUUUUUUGGUACAUCUAAGCGACUUAUAAUUUAGAACGGAGUAGUAGUUAACUCAUAGGAUCAAAACAUGCCCUUACUUGUUUGUUUGUGUUUCUAAAUCCAGACCCCAUAUGCUAUUUAAUGUCAUGGCGAUGGUUGGCCCUCCAUAGCAGUAGCUAUCAUGUAUUCUUACCAAAAAAAUUGGGCAUAGGUGGUUUUUGGGUUGGCCGUCAGCUUAUGUUGUACUCUCUCUAUCCACAAAAGUUUAAUCAAUGUUAUUAAUUGAAAUACUAAUAUUUAUGGUACAAAAUAAGUACAAUAUAUUAAAAUAAUUAUGAAAUAUAUUUUCGUAGUAAAACUAGCUAAUUGGAGACAUAAAUAUUAAUAGUAUUCACUAUAAACUUGAUAAAAGUUAAGCUAAUUUAACUUGCACAAAUCUCAUAUCCAUGCAUUAUUCUUCCGUGAAUAGAGGUAGUAGUUUGUUGUUGUAGUGGACAAUGUUAGUUUAGAGUUGUGGCGGCUUGUGGCACAUGGUGUGUGUUAUUGUCUCCUAGACUGGACGCUGAGUUAAAGUUGCAAUUUUGCCUUUUUUUUGGGUAGGCUCUCAAGAUUACUUAUUUACACUGUAUUUUCUUUUAUAUCAAUAAAAUAGGCAGUGCCUUUUUUAUUUAAAAAGAAAAAAACAUAAUCCGAUCUGGAGAAGUCAUAUGCCCCCCAAGAACUUGCAACAAACCCCAACAAGAGAAUGUCUGUUGGACGAUUAUACAAAUUAGUUAAUUCCAGAAGCUGAUUAUACAAGCUGUUUAAUCUAUAUAUUUUAUAUAGACAAACUCCACUAAACUAAUUAUCUUGUACCUCCUUUCGCCACAUCAUCAUUCACCUUUCAUAACCGCGGCGACGUGUGGAGAAUCUUCCUAGUUUUAGAAUGCCUAUUACAUAUUAUACAAUGCAAGUGCUUCAUAUAUAUCGAGGUGGAACUAAUAAUACAUAAUGCGUGUGACGUUGCUCAUUCGAAAAAAAAACUGAAAGACGAAUGAUCAUGAAAACAAAAUUAAAUUAAGGGCUGUCAUCACCACAAAAUCAAAGGGCGUAGCACGCACGCACGCACGCACUAUAUUGGGUGACGCAUGUUACAUAUACAUACAUGAACCAAAAAAAAAACAUAGAGGAAAGAAAAAAAAAAACAAUUAGGCAAGCACAUUCCAGCAUAUAUACGUUUGCCGCGGCCGCGCGCGCACCCAUCAGGCCGGGUGCAGCACAUUAUUAUUCCAGAGAAUCAUAAUUUUGCCGGAUCGGAUUAUAUAUAUAGGUAGAUCACGCCAAGAACUCGAUCGCCAUAGAUGCAUGGAGAUCUCUGUCGGCGACGGCGACCCGUCGGUUAGUCGGAAGAGCUGCUGCUGGAGGGUGCGUCCGACGACGAUGACGACGACUCCGGGGACGAGGCGUCGGGGCUGGGAGCGGGCGCGUCGGAGGAGGACUCCAUGGACCUGCCCUCCACGAUGUCGGGGCGCGCCGCGUCGACGACCGUCGUGAGUGGCGCCACCGCGACGGCGGCCAGGAGGAGCACGACGAGGAACACGCAGGCGCGGGCCAUUGCUGCUGCCUUGGUGGCGGUGCGUCGGAGCGAGAGUGGCAGCUGUGUUUCUUGUUUGCUUGCUGUGUGUUGCG